This 253-nucleotide ribosomal RNA is filed under the name uncultured bacterium. Its description in RNAcentral is "partial 16S ribosomal RNA". It matches the Rfam family "Bacterial small subunit ribosomal RNA", at positions 524 to 776 of the family's 1533-position model. The record is from RNAcentral.
UACAGAGGUCUCAAGCGUUGUUCGGAUUCAUUGGGCGUAAAGGGUGCGUAGGCGGCGCGGUAAGUCGGGUGUGAAAUCUUGGAGCUUAACUCCGAAACUGCAUUCGAUACUGCCUUGCUAGAGUACUGGAGAGGAGAUUGGAAUUUACGGUGUAGCAGUGAAAUGCGUAGAUAUCGUAAGGAAGACCAGUGGCGAAGGCGGGUCUCUGGACAGUUCCUGACGCUGAGGCACGAAGGCCAGGGGAGCAAACGGG